Ramicandelaber brevisporus is the source of this 83-nucleotide non-coding RNA. The record is from the annotation of a GenBank genome assembly. Lineage: Eukaryota; Fungi; Kickxellomycota; Ramicandelaberales; Ramicandelaberaceae.
GUCCGUGUGGCGAAAUGGUCAACGCACCGGUCUCCUAGCUCGGAGAAAACCGGAGAUUGCGGGUUCAAGUCCCGUCACGGAUG